RNAcentral lists this non-coding RNA (24 nucleotides) under Cricetulus griseus (Chinese hamster). The record is from RNAcentral. Lineage: Eukaryota; Metazoa; Chordata; Mammalia; Rodentia; Cricetidae.
UCAGUGUCCGAGCGCUCACAGACC